CGCAUCUUGCACUCCAUGGUAUUCCGUGGAGUAUGCCUGUUCGAGUGUCACGUCAACCCUCACCCUUGUGAUGUCAAAGUCACCCGCGGUGGAUUUGGACCGUGCCGUAGUCGGCUCGUCCUGAAAUACAUUAGCUUGCGCUUUUAGAGUGCCGGGCAUAGGUGUGAUAAUUAUCUGCGCCGCCGCUCAAGCCUCUUCAGUUGUGCUGCUUACAGUCGUCCUGACGGACAUUAUUAAAGCUUUGGCCUCGAAUCAGGUAGGAUUACCCGCUGAACUUAA
Molecule: unclassified non-coding RNA, 279 nt
Filed under: Exidia uvapassa
Lineage: Eukaryota; Fungi; Basidiomycota; Agaricomycetes; Auriculariales; Exidiaceae
Description: partial contains 5.8S ribosomal RNA, internal transcribed spacer 2, and large subunit ribosomal RNA
Source: RNAcentral